AGAGCAGCAGAUGAAAUCCUUGCUGAGACUGAAUCUGCUUGGGAAGGCCUGCUUAUUUUGGGUUGGACUUUCUUCCUUGGAGGCUUGGCAUUGAACUCCCACAAAAUGAUGAGUCACAGGGAGCUGGUUAUUUCCUUGAGAACAGCAAGAAGCGAGUGAAAAUCAUCUUUUGAAUUCGAGAGCCCAGGGGUGCCGUGCAUGGAUCUCAUUUUACAGAGGGACCCGUGGCAAAAAGUUCACCCUGCUGCUUGAAGGAGAAUCAGAAACUGCUUGGCAUCCAACCUCAAGGACUCCAGGAAUCCCACCCACAGCUGGAGCUAUCCCCCCAACAGCCACCCCGAAACUGUCACUACCAGGAGCUGCAUUAUUUAAAAAAGUGACUGCAAGCAAGAGAUAGAAUUAGCAUAAUCUGUUAUUUAAAAGCUACACCUGCUAUUAAAGUUAUAAAGAAAUGAAAUCUUA
Taeniopygia guttata (zebra finch) is the source of this 462-nucleotide non-coding RNA. The record is from RefSeq and is a predicted model, not a curated record. NCBI's taxonomy places the organism in Eukaryota, Metazoa, Chordata, Aves, Passeriformes, Estrildidae.